RNAcentral lists this ribosomal RNA (301 nucleotides) under uncultured bacterium. RNAcentral describes it as "partial 16S ribosomal RNA". It matches the Rfam family "Bacterial small subunit ribosomal RNA", at positions 509 to 809 of the family's 1533-position model. The record is from RNAcentral.
CAGUAGCCACGGUAAUACGUAGGUGGCAAGCGUUGUCCGGAAUUAUUGGGCGUAAAGGGCUCGCAGGCGGUUUCUUAAGUCUGAUGUGAAAGCCCCCGGCUCAACCUCGGAACUGCCUUUGAUACUGGAAGUCUUGAGUGUGGAAGAGGUAAGUGGAAUUGCGAGUGUAGAGGUGAAAUUCGUAGAUAUUGGGAAGAACACCGGUGGCGAAGGCGGCAGCCUGGUCCUUGACUGACGCUGAGGCGCGAAAGCGUGGGGAGCAAACAGGAUUAGAUACCCCGGUAGUCCCUGUCUCUUAUAA